RNAcentral lists this long non-coding RNA (234 nucleotides) under Elaeis guineensis (African oil palm). RNAcentral's name for it is "long non-coding RNA (EGUI_LNC050771)". Lineage: Eukaryota; Viridiplantae; Streptophyta; Magnoliopsida; Arecales; Arecaceae. The record is from RNAcentral.
GGGUGUAUGAUCCAUCCUUGUCCCAAAUUGUUGAGAAUUUGCUGCCAUGUUGGAAAUCAAAUUUUUUGCAGCCUCCGAUGUUUUGUCCACCAAGGCACCUCCACUAGCUGCAUCUAUCAUACUCCUAUCCAUUGGCAGCAAACCUUCAUAAAAAUAUUGGAUUAAGAGCUGAUCACUAAUCUAAUGAUGUGGGCAGUUCGCACAUAAUCUUUUAAAUCACUCUCAAUAUUCGUA